This 355-nucleotide unclassified non-coding RNA is filed under the name Hoya imperialis. RNAcentral's name for it is "partial external transcribed spacer". The record is from RNAcentral. Lineage: Eukaryota; Viridiplantae; Streptophyta; Magnoliopsida; Gentianales; Apocynaceae.
CAAGUGCCGCAUAGCCUUGGCCGUGACCCCGGUUUCCUGUGCUGCGUACCUACACGAUGGCAUUCGUUUGUCCCAACGUCCCUCGUUCGUUUAGCGGUCCGCUUACCGGCGGGUCACGAGACGAAACUCGCAGCAUGGCCCGUUACCCGCGUCGCGUCUAUGCCGUCACGGUGAACGGGGCAUCGCUCGAGCUCUUGGAUAUGGAAAGCACUGAGGGCAUUGAGGUCUCGCGGCCUCUUAUCUUUGCCCGAGCAUGCAUUAGACACCAACGGUGCACGACCGUCGCUCCCGUCUCGGCCCGGCCGUACGGUGACGAUGUCGUUGAGGAAUGCUACCUGGUUGAUCCUGCCAGUAG